UCUGGAGGCAAUAAAAAAUGCUCCCGGUUGUAUACAUCCAGUGGUUUCUCGAGUUUUACCUUAUAUUGGGCCCAUUUUAAAUAACCCACAACAGCAGCCAGAGGGUUUAGUUGCUGCUUCACUUGAUCUCGUGACAAUGUUGCUGAAGAGUGCCCCAACUGACAUUGUAAAGGCGGUGUAUGAAGUCUCUUUUGAUCCUGUUGUUCGUAUAGUCCUUAAAAGUGAUGAUCAUAGUGAAAUGCAGAAUGCAACACAGUGCUUAGCUGCUCUUAUAUCUGUGGGGAAAGAAGAAUUGCUUGCUUGGGGUGGUGAUACUGCGUUUGCAAUGAGAAGUUUGCUUGAUGUGGCUUCAAGGCUUCUAGACCCUGAUCUUGAAAGUUCUGGAGCACUUUUUGUUGGGAGCUAUAUCCUGCAACUUAUUCUGCAUCUCCCUUCACAAAUGGCCCAACAUAUCAGAGACCUGGUUGCUGCUCUUUUGAGGCGCAUGCAAUCUUGUAAACUUUCUGGGUUAAGAAGCUCUUUGUUGGUUAUAUUUGCCAGAUUGGUCCACAUGAGUGCUCCUCAUGUUGAACAAUUUAUUGAGAUGUUGGUCUCAAUCCCAGCAGAAGGUCAUCC
RNAcentral lists this unclassified non-coding RNA (615 nucleotides) under Hevea brasiliensis (rubber tree). Lineage: Eukaryota; Viridiplantae; Streptophyta; Magnoliopsida; Malpighiales; Euphorbiaceae. The record is from RNAcentral.